This 144-nucleotide unclassified non-coding RNA is filed under the name soil metagenome. RNAcentral describes it as "partial internal transcribed spacer 1". The record is from RNAcentral.
UAAUAAGUGUUUUAUGGCACUUUUUAAAUCCAUAUCCACCUUGUGUGCAAUGUCAGUCGAUCUUCUUCAUGGAGAUCGACCAAACAUCAACCUUUAUUUUUAACUCUUUGUCUGAAAAAUAUUAUGAGUAAACAAUUCAAAAUA